GUAACAGGAUGGUGGAGACUAAAUGGGAAACAGACCAUUUUUCAGGAGUAUUGUAUAUUUAAGUUUUUUGUGUUUUAAUUAUUAGUAUUUGAAUUUACUGUGUAUGUAACAUGUUUUAUAUUAACUCUUGUAAUAAUGUUCACUCUUGACUUUUUUUAUUUUAUUUUUUUGAAUUGAUAUUUAACUUAACUUGAGACACUAUCCUGAAUAAUGGCUCACUCAGGUGACUCGGGCUCACUCAGGUGACUCGGGCUCACUCAGGUGACUCGCCUGGGCCAGUAACUGAUUAUGUCAACUAGCCAAUUGAACAUUUUGAACAAUAUUUUCAACACAAAACAUUUACUGUUAUUCGAAUGUUCUAAAAACAUGUUGUGUGUUAAGAUUUCUUUACUUUCAGUCUUUUUCACAAUAAACCAGGGCUUGCAUACA
Oncorhynchus kisutch (coho salmon) is the source of this 429-nucleotide long non-coding RNA. RefSeq lists it as uncharacterized. NCBI's taxonomy places the organism in Eukaryota, Metazoa, Chordata, Actinopteri, Salmoniformes, Salmonidae. The transcript has 2 exons. The record is from RefSeq and is a predicted model, not a curated record.